RNAcentral lists this long non-coding RNA (1883 nucleotides) under Marmota monax (woodchuck). The record is from RNAcentral. Lineage: Eukaryota; Metazoa; Chordata; Mammalia; Rodentia; Sciuridae.
GUCACACAGCACCUACAUGUAGAAACUGGAGUUCAGAGCAAGUCUCUUAUGCCAGGGCCCAUUCUUUAAACCAGUAAGGAGAGCUCCUUAGACUUGGUCAGUUUUGUAAAGCAGCUGAUUCCAAUUCAGUGCCAUAAAGAACUUGCUGGUAGUUAGAGAACUUGCUGGUAGGAGAGAAUAGAAGCACCGUCCCAGGUUUCAGUCCAUGUGAGCUCCUUGUGGGUGUUGCUAAAUUAGCUGAACCUGUUGAGCCAUCUCUAACAUUCCCUCCUCUUUGUGUUUCUGUGUCUUCUGAUCCAAUAGGUAAGUGUCUUAAGAGACAGAUACUCAAAAAAUCUUAUAAUGAGGACUCAGUAAGAUUCCUCUUCCAAGGGCUGGAGAUGCAGCUCAGCGGCAGUGUUUGCCCAGCAUGAAGGAGGUUCUGGGUUCCACCCCCAACACUCCCCACAAGAAAGAAUUAUUUUCCAAUGCAAAUGGAAUCCCCAAACUAUUUUAUGUGGGUCUAUGUUUUGUAGGGAUAAAUUAACCCUAUCAUUGUGUUUUUCAAACUCUUCUCCAAUGACUCGCUGACUAAAUAUAGCAUUAGAAGGUAUGAAUACUAUUGUCCCUACAUACCCCUGUCCCAGAGUGACCAGGGUUAAAUGUCCUUGCUCACAUAUUCCCUCAAAAUAUUCACUGAACACUAACAAUGCAGGUAGCACUCGAGGCACUGUGGCAAAGUAGGAACAUUUAGCCAUUUCCUGGGUUUGGCUAACUGUUCAUCAAAACAACAGACUUCUUAGGUAUCCAGAUAUAAAGUUACUUUUUAAUUUUUAAAAUUCAAAAAAAUCUAUUUUCAUUUUUUAAAAAAUCAUAUUGUAGAAAUGAGUAAAUUACAUAAAUAGCCCACCUCAUUUCCAGAGGUUUCAUCACCAAUGCAUGGGUGAAUAGUUUCACUCCACCUAGAGCCUUCUGCUAAGCAGCCUUUUGCUAAGCAUAUUGUGGCCAUCUUGUCACGUCCAUGCAUAGAUCAAUAUUAUAUUUCAAAGGUGUGCAUAAACUGUCAUUACCCAGGUAGCCCAUAAUUUGUGUAGUCAGCAGUCUAUCAGUGAACACUUAAGCUGUUUUAAGUUCUCAUCUACAACUAACCAUGUUCCAGUUAAUAUCAUAUAUUCAUUAAAUCUUUUUCCUUAUAUGUCCCUAUACUGCAGUGCCAAUAUGUCCACAAUUUGAAUACACUCAUAAAAGUAAAUCACUACAGAAUGGCCAGAGCUAAGUCUAAAAUAUGUUCACUUUAAUUUUGGUAGGUAGUCAUAAGUUCUUCAUAAAAAUAGAAUCAAUGUAAACUAACACCAAUAGUAUAUAAGAGAUUUUUUUCUAUAUAUGAUAGGACUUUUUUUUUUUUUAGUUCAAAGAUUAUAAUAGGGCUGGGAAUGUUGCUAGUGGUAGAGGGUCUGCCUGACAUGCGUGAGGCCCUGGGUUUGAGUCCAAGCACCACACCAAGAAAAAAAAAAAAGAUUAAUAAUAGCUUUUUUGAGGGGGGGGGAGUUCUUUAAAGAAUAACCUUUCAAUCAUUAUCCAAGAGCCUGAAUCUUUUAAUCAUUAGGUUUUAGAUUUCCCAUAGUAACAGAAACUGACUCACUCUAUAGGAGAAUCUAGCAAGUGACUAAUUCAGUGUAUUUCAAAUGUUUCUCUCAUCUUUUUCUACUUUACAUCUAAUUGUGGUGGGGACUAACUCUUAAAUAAGCUAAUUUGGAUGGGAGCUGUUGGGAGAGUGCAAAGCACAAUUCAGAUGCACCUACAAGUUCUAUGGACCUCAGUUUCCCAUUGUAAAAUGGAGUUGCACUUGCUUAGCUCAAGACAACUCAACUCAGCAAACAAUUCCUACAUCUAUUAAAUGCCAG